Molecule: small nuclear RNA, 107 nt
Organism: Fukomys damarensis (Damara mole-rat)
Lineage: Eukaryota; Metazoa; Chordata; Mammalia; Rodentia; Bathyergidae
Source: Ensembl
GUGCUUGCCUUGGCAGCACAUAUACUAAAAUUGGAAUGAUACAGAGAAGAUUAGCAUGGCCCCUGCACUAGGAUGAAAAUCUACACAUACACGUAAACUAAGACAAU